GCGCCCGUAGCUCAGCUGGAUAGAGUACUGCCCUCCGAAGGCAGGGGUCGCGCGUUCGAAUCGCGCCGGACGCACCA
Molecule: transfer RNA, 77 nt
Filed under: Thiobacillus sp.
Lineage: Bacteria; Pseudomonadati; Pseudomonadota; Betaproteobacteria; Nitrosomonadales; Thiobacillaceae
Also listed under: 13 other names
Description: tRNA-Arg
Rfam family: tRNA
About the family: Transfer RNA (tRNA) molecules are approximately 80 nucleotides in length. Their secondary structure includes four short double-helical elements and three loops (D, anti-codon, and T loops). Further hydrogen bonds mediate the characteristic L-shaped molecular structure. tRNAs have two regions of fundamental functional importance: the anti-codon, which is responsible for specific mRNA codon recognition, and the 3' end, to which the tRNAs corresponding amino acid is attached (by aminoacyl-tRNA synthetases). tRNAs cope with the degeneracy of the genetic code in two manners: having more than one tRNA (with a specific anti-codon) for a particular amino acid; and 'wobble' base-pairing, i.e. permitting non-standard base-pairing at the 3rd anti-codon position.
Source: RNAcentral